UACACACACACACACACAUAAUGGCAAAGGCCAGUGCCUUAACAAAGCACAACAAUGAUAUAUUUAUUAAUGAAUGCAUAGUUAUUAAUUAAGGUCCUAAUUGUAAAUUCCUUAUAAAUUAAGUAAUGAUUUAGAAAUUAUUCAUAUAAGAAUAUAUUCUAACUCUGGAAUCUUGCUUCCCUAAGAAAUUGACAUAUACUUGUUUUGCCUGUGGAAACAUAAAAGUAUUUUCUAAAAGCUAACUCACUAACAAAGCAAAAAAAUUUAUAUCAAACCAACGGUGAUUAGAUUUGAUAAUGCAAAUGUGAACUGACUUCUAAAUAAGAAAGGUACAAUUUUUCUUCCUUUUGGUUAAACAUAUAUCCUUUAUAUGCUAUAAUAGAUUUCAUGUACCUACACAAACACAUACCUAUAAGUAAUGUCCUGAACAAUAAAUAUGUUCUGGAAGUGAACUUCCAUGUCAUUCUAGCUUAGUGCCCUCACAAAGGAAAGAAGAAUUAUGACACUUCCCCCAAGGCAAGUAAACUUAUUUUUUAACAAAUGCUACUAAUAAAUUUUACUCAGUCAUAUGCUUUCCUUAGUCUAACAAUUUUGUCACUGUAUUUGCCUUUUAGAGUGUAUAUAAAAUAUGUGUGUGGUUUUCUUUUUUUGUUCAUUACAGGUUUUUCUCCACUUAGAGCAUUUGGAAGGAAACAUAUUUGCCUCUGUAAAGUACUAGUUCCUUCUGUAACAUCAGAGUGUUACAGGUAACAGAGUUGGAGAAUCGUAUAAGGAUGGGAAUUCUGGGUGGCGAGAAUAUCAAUGAAGAUCAGAGCACCCAAGACCUGCACAGCCAAGUAAUCAAAGAACAGGCCAAGACUUGAAGAGUAAUGGAACUUACAGUCAGAAGUAUUCUAGUGGAUUGUGAACAAAUAAAUCAGAAGGGAAGAAUACUAAUGUACACUUUCCCUGGAAGAGUUA
Panthera uncia (snow leopard) is the source of this 960-nucleotide long non-coding RNA. RefSeq lists it as uncharacterized. The transcript has 2 exons. Lineage: Eukaryota; Metazoa; Chordata; Mammalia; Carnivora; Felidae. The record is from RefSeq and is a predicted model, not a curated record.